Molecule: non-coding RNA, 74 nt
Organism: Blastomyces dermatitidis ER-3
Lineage: Eukaryota; Fungi; Ascomycota; Eurotiomycetes; Onygenales; Ajellomycetaceae
Source: Rfam
GGUCCUAUAGCUCAGUUGGUUAGAGCGUGGUGCUAAUAACGCCAAGGUCGCGAGUUCGACCCUCGUUGGGACCA